Molecule: long non-coding RNA, 797 nt
Organism: Sphaeramia orbicularis (orbiculate cardinalfish)
Lineage: Eukaryota; Metazoa; Chordata; Actinopteri; Kurtiformes; Apogonidae
Exons: 3
Source: RefSeq, a predicted model, not a curated record
CCAAUGGGGAGAAAAAAAACAUAAGCACCCCAUGCGCAAUUUUUCCUUUUACUUCACUCUACUCACUUUUUCUUUAAAACCACUUGUUAAAAUGUUAGUGUCAAAAAUGUGUAAUAGCUAUAAACAUUGUGAUUCCUGCAUCACAUUGUUUUUUUUCUGUGUAUCUUUAUAUUCUGUCCCUAGGUCUACAGCUCCAAAGUAAAGCCAGUGUAUAAGUAUCAUGGCUACAGUGAAAAUACCCUGACAUCCAUAGACUUCCAUGGAUUUGUUUGACUACACUACCUUGUCAGACCUUCAGAGUUUCUGUUUGUUGAAUAAAACAUUUAUUUCUGACAGACAGCUUGUGACCAAUAAGCUACACUAAUAAGACUGUUAAAUUAUUGUGUUACUCAAAUGUUCGAUGACAUUUCAAGUAGCUGAUUUGUAGCAUUAGCUCCCCCAUCACCUGUGUUCCUGCAGCUCUACCCAUUUUGUCCAAAUAUGGUCACUUCGGGCUCCAAAGAGCCAACAUGAUGACAAACUAGAGAAGUCACAGUGUCUAUGAUCCGGCAUUACUAAAGAAAACACACAUAAAUGAAUACUUAAUUCAUUAGUUAAGCAACAUCAAUGCUAAAUAACCCAUGAUGCUCUGGAUAAAAUAUCAUAUUCACGAUGGGACUCAGUGAGACAAGCAACUCUGUAUUCGCAAUACUGUCCUGCCCUGUGUAACACUAAAGCUAUGAAUGUCGCUCACUGUUAACUCAUAAAUACAGUAGCAACAGAUGUAUGCAUGACUGAAUCCUUUUUUUCUUUCUCUU